Molecule: ribosomal RNA, 436 nt
Filed under: Appasus japonicus
Lineage: Eukaryota; Metazoa; Arthropoda; Insecta; Hemiptera; Belostomatidae
Description: partial 16S rRNA
Rfam family: Bacterial large subunit ribosomal RNA
Source: RNAcentral
GUCCUUUUGAUUGUUAUAUAAGGUCUGACCUGCCCUAUGAAUAUUUAAAUGGCCGCGGUAUACUAACCGUGCAAAGGUAGCAUAGUCAUUUGUCUCUUAAUUGGAGGCUUGAAUGAAGGGUUGGACGAGAUAUAAGCUUUCUUUGUUAUAUUUUAUUGAAUUUGACUUUUGAGUUAAAAGGCUUAAAUUUUUUUAUAGGACGAGAAGACCCUAUAGAAUUUUAUAUAUUUGUAUAAUUGAUUUAUUUAUUUAUUAUUUAAUUUCUUGUUUAAAUAUAUUUUGUUGGGGCGAUGGGAAGAUUUUAAUAACUCUUUUUUGUUUUGAUCAUUGAUUUAUGUUUUAUUCUGAUCCUUUUUUAGAGAUUAUAAGAUUAAAUUACCUUAGGGAUAACAGCGUAAUUCUUUUGGAGAGUUCUUAUCGAUAAAAGAGUUUGCGA